This 247-nucleotide ribosomal RNA is filed under the name uncultured bacterium. RNAcentral describes it as "partial 16S ribosomal RNA". It matches the Rfam family "Bacterial small subunit ribosomal RNA", at positions 86 to 334 of the family's 1533-position model. The record is from RNAcentral.
CGGGGAUUAGUGGCGAACGGGUGAGUAACACGUGGGCAAUCUGCCCUGCACUCUGGGACAAGCCCUGGAAACGGGGUCUAAUACCGGAUAUGACUGUCCAUCGCAUGGUGGAUGGUGUAAAGCUCCGGCGGUGCAGGAUGAGCCCGCGGCCUAUCAGCUUGUUGGUGAGGUAGUGGCUCACCAAGGCGACGACGGGUAGCCGGCCUGAGAGGGCGACCGGCCACACUGGGACUGAGACACGGCCCAG